Lolium rigidum is the source of this 2234-nucleotide long non-coding RNA. RefSeq lists it as uncharacterized. The transcript is spliced from 3 exons. The record is from RefSeq and is a predicted model, not a curated record. NCBI's taxonomy places the organism in Eukaryota, Viridiplantae, Streptophyta, Magnoliopsida, Poales, Poaceae.
UUGUUGAAGCCAGGUGUGAUAGUUAAUAGUUGAACAAAAUAUACCUGAACAAUUUAAGUAUGCUGUAGCAGUUCUCCACUUAUGUUCACCUGCAAGUAAGAAGAUUGUUCUUUUUUUUUUUGCUGAAGCCAGGUGAGAUAGUUAAUAGUUGGAACAAAAUAUACCUGAAUAACUGCUUUUGUUGCUUUGUGGCAGUCUUUUUGACGAAAAUGAUAUUUUGUGUACGUGCUUAAUCACUGUUUAUCUUUACGUUUGGCACUCAUUAUUAUAAUGUUAGAUUAGAAUUAUAUAAAUUUUGUUGUUCUGGCAAGUUCAUGGUUUGUCUGGAUUUUGUGAAUGAUUCUCAGUUCUUGUGAACAAAAUUAUACUGCUCUGCUCCAAAUCUUUAAUUAAUGUAUCUUAAUUGAUUGGUCUGAUUGUCUUCUUUGCAGGAUCAUGUACUGUAUUCAUGCUUUGAGACACUCUGUCUACAUCCUGUCUUGCAGAUUCUUUUGUUACAUUGUAGCAGUCAUUCUGUGGAAAUGCAUAUUUGAUGCUUGUGCUAAUCACUGUUUAUCUUCAUGUUUGGCUCUCAUUUAUGGCGUUUUCUUUAAUUAUUUAAUUUCAUCUGUUCUGGUUGGGUGAUGUGAAUGAUUCUCAGUUUUUCACUAUCAUAAGCGAGAAGCUGAGACCCCAAGAAGGAUCAUGCGGUGCUCUUCUGUGUGCUAAUGCUUUGAGACACGCUGUUUACUCCAACCCCGUUGUAGUACCAUUUGUUUGAAGAUGUGGUAUAUUGAUUAUAAGCCUUUUUCAUCGCUGUGCUUUCGUAAAUUCAAAAUCAUGCUGAUUUUGGUCUCUAAAAUCUUAAAGCCCAUAGAAUUACUUAAUUUGCUCUACUAACUCCCUAUAAAUUUACAUUUUCCUUUCAAUUAGUUGCCAACCACGGUGAUCGGCUUUUGGUACAGAAGCCAUUGAAGAUUGAUCGUGGCUUCAGAGGAAUUCUCUAAGUUGCAAGAGAUUGGACACAACGGAGGAGCCAGUGCAAGAGUUGCGGCUGCACCUCCGCGGUAAGACAAUAGGAGGCCAAUCUGGCCUGUCCCAACCUAUGCCUGGUAUGCUGCAGCUUUAUCCAAUCCUCUACUAACUCCCUUCUUUGAAAUUACAUUUCCUUUCACAUUGGCUGCCAAAUAUUGAUGAUGGGGUUUUGAGCCAGAAGCCAUUGAAGAUCGAUCUUGACUGCAGAGGAAUUGUUUUAGUUGCAAGGUGAGAGUUCAACCAAUGUUUCUUUUCUAGGUACGGUUGAAAUGCAUUGUUUUCUCGCAUUUCCAUGUGUUCAACACUUGCCAGAGAUUGGACAUAGUGGAGGAGCCAGUACAAGAGACGUGGCUGGCACCUCGUCAACAGUAAGACCAUAGGAACCUAAUAUGGCCUGCCCCAGCUUACUAUUUAUCCUGCUCAAAUGCUUUUUCAGUUUUCCCGAGUGUCUCCAGGAAGGUAGAUUUUACACGUUUGAAACAUAUUUGCUAUAUUAAUUUAUAUUGUUAUGAACAUCUUGAUCAACCGUCUGAGCAUCACAUCAUAUUUUAGUCUUAUAAUUAUUGAGCAUCACUACUCUGAACGGCUUAGGAUUGCCAGUAAUGAACAUGAUUGCAGAGAUCUGGUCAUAAAAUUUGUCUUGUAAUGUUGCAGCUUAUACUUCUAUUUCGUUGGUCUGGAGACAGUAUUUCUAUGGAUAGUUAUGAAAUCAUAAUCAUUUCAAUCUGAAGAUCACUUUUAAGUUUUAAAUAUGCUCCUAUAAAAUCCCCUGAAACUCGAGAUGUGGCAAACAUACCAUCUUAUAAUUAUAUAAUCAAAUAAGCUACUUUGUAUCCUUGCUCAGUUUGAUAGUAGGGAUAUCAGAACAAGAACUAACAUGAAGUGUUGGAUUCUUUCCUCAUGGAUGGAUCUGUUGAAGAAGUGGAGAUGUAUAUUCUUGGAAAUAAUGAAUGCAUUUGUUUCCUGAGACUGAACAUUACAAAAGCACCUCGUCUAGAAGAAGAAGCUAUGAAGCCCUCGGAGCUUUUGAAGGAAGAAGUUCUGACUUACUUUCCUGAUUCUAUCUGUAACAGUUUGGGCCAUCUUCUAUGUAUAUGUAUUUAGCCCAAAUAGUCAGCCUGGCCCAAGUUGUCAUAUGGAACAUCUGUACAUUACUCUGAAUGCAAUAGAGAAAAUCUUCAGUUGGUCAAAUGACAUGGUAUCAAAGCUUGGUCUGGUCG